This 311-nucleotide long non-coding RNA is filed under the name Elaeis guineensis (African oil palm). RNAcentral's name for it is "long non-coding RNA (EGUI_LNC011831)". The record is from RNAcentral. Lineage: Eukaryota; Viridiplantae; Streptophyta; Magnoliopsida; Arecales; Arecaceae.
GUCCGAAAAUUUUUUUUGCAUCAACAAUGAUUAUUAAAAAUUUUAAAAUGAACGGAAAUCAUAGUGGUUUAUGCUUCAUGGGAUUGGUGAGUGCUCAAAAGUAGUUGAAAAGGAAUAUGUUCCAGUUACUUUAUUAUCCUAAGAAGGGAAUAUGGAGCUCCUCUCAAGCACUUUUAACCCACGGUUUUGCUGUCAAUCGAAUCUUGAGGUGGUUGUUUCUGUAAUGUAUAUUGGUCUGGGCUUCACUGUGAAACAGUUUCUUCCUACUGUAACUCUCUUAUGAAUCUACCAUUUCUUAUCAAAAAAAAAAA